GAUAUUCAUAGUUCUGCAGCAACCUUUGAGCAAUUUGGAAAUAUUAAAAAAAAUGUAACCACUGUUGCUGAGAUUCAAAAUAAUAUUUUUAAAUAUAAAGUGAUUUACGAAUACUUUCAGGCUUCUUCUACACUGUGUCGCAACGUGGGAAAAGAAUACUAAACCUCGGAAAAUAUCGAUAUCACGAAAAGGCUCUAAUGGAACCUGGAAAAUUCAGGUGGUUUUGUGCCAAAUACUACGACAGCAGCAUAAGAUGUAGAGCUGCUCUAAUAACAUACAAGGAUAGGAUCGUUAAACAUCAGGUAAACGAGCUUUCUUUACUCAGUCUCGUCGUGGCGGUGUCAUUCUUCAUAUAGGACAAUACACAUUCAACAAGAGUUACUACACAUCCGCAAAUUUCGAGAGCUCGAAAACUUCGUGGAUAUGCACUAGUUACUAUGGACGGGAUAAAUGCAAAGUCAGAGUGAAAACUCACGGAGCCCACGUCAUCUCCAUAAAAGGACAACAUAGUCAUUAAUAAAUUUUGCUUAAGCAAUAUU
Leguminivora glycinivorella is the source of this 539-nucleotide long non-coding RNA. RefSeq lists it as uncharacterized. Lineage: Eukaryota; Metazoa; Arthropoda; Insecta; Lepidoptera; Tortricidae. The transcript has 2 exons. The record is from RefSeq and is a predicted model, not a curated record.